This 1799-nucleotide long non-coding RNA is filed under the name Mytilus galloprovincialis (Mediterranean mussel). The record is from RNAcentral. Lineage: Eukaryota; Metazoa; Mollusca; Bivalvia; Mytilida; Mytilidae.
GGGAACAGUCCAUAUUGUUUAAAUUUAGUUGUCGUAGUAGAUAUUCACCAUACUGUAAAUUUUUAAAGAAAACCUACAGUGAAAAACAUCCAAUCUUCAUAUGGCAACAUGUUCAAGAUUUAUAGUUUGUGUUGGAGAUAUAUUUCUUUACUAUGAAAGAUUUAAAUAAAAAUUUACAACAAAACAUAUGUGAAAUUAUCAGAUCUCCUUAAACAAAACAGCUUAGAUAAUUCAAAUGAUUCAAAAUUUUAAUUCAAAAACUAACUUGCUUUACAAAAUAUAAUUAAUUCACUUGUAACUGAAAGAUGUCAUAUUAAUCAGGGGCGGAUCCAGCCAUUUUAAAAAGGGGGUUCCCAACCCAGGACAAAGGGGCGUUCCAAAAACAUGUCCCAAUUUAAAUGCAUUGAUCGUCCAAAAAAAGUGAGGUUUCAACCCCCAGAACACCCCCCCUGGAUCCGCCACUGUUAAUUUUCAUAAUCCUUGUAAAACUUUCUUAUACGAAUUAAUUGUAGUGCCAUGUAGCGGUUGUAUUAGGCAUGUUUUCAAGGUGUAUUGACAAAAAGAUAUAUUUUUAAAGAGAAACAAUUAUUUUUUAAUUUCAUUUUGUCUGCAUGUUAGUGAAUAUGUUUAUGAUUUUAUGUGUAUUAAUAUGUUAUUUGAGUUUCAAUCAAUGCAAUUUAUUAUAUUAUCAAUGCAACAGUAGGGUAUUUUAUCAUUAUCAUCACAACAGUGGUUUAGUUCAAUAUUCAAGCAAUCUGUAGUAUUGUUUUGUCUUAUAAUCCAAAUUAGGUCUUGAUGGGGAUUUCAAAAUAGAGAAUAAUGGGCUGAAAAUAUAUAGAUUAUUGAAAAGUGGGUAUAAAAUAUAAAAAACAAAGAAGAAAUCGCAAAAAAAUGAAAAGGGGAAAAAAAUACCAUGAAAAAUUAAAGAAUAGAGAAAGUUGACAUAACAAAAUGUCAAAUUGGAGAAUACAGCCUCCUCAUAUUUAGACUUUGACAUCAUGAGUAUUGAACCCUCCUACAGCCCCUCAUGUUUAGACUUUGACAUCAUGAGUAUUGAACCCUCCUACAACCCUCAUAUUUAGACUUUGACAUCAUGAGUAUUGAACCCCCUCCUACAGCCCCUCAUAUUUAGACUUUGACAUCAUGAGUAUUGAACCCUCCUACAGCCCCUCAUAUUUAGACUUUGACAUCAUGAGUAUUGAACCCUCCUACAGCCCCUCAUAUUUAGACUUUGACAUCAUGAGUAUUGAACCCUCCUACGCCCUAUAUUUAGACUUUGACAUCAUUAGUAUUGACCCUCCUACAGCCCCUCAUAUUUAGACUUUGACAUCAUGAGUAUUGAACCCUCCUACAGCCCCUCAUAUUUAGACUUUGACAUCAUGAGUAUUGACAUCUGUUGUGAUGAGUCAGUGUAUACCAAUGCAAUGGAUUUCAGCUGCCAUUAUUAUAACUGAUUUGUUUGAGUGUGUUCUACAAUAAUAAAACAUAAGCUUUGUGUAGAAUGUAAUUAUUUAUCACCUUUUGUUUUAAAAAUAGGUAACAAACUAGUCAACUGGUAUCAACCACCCCGUGUGUUACCUGUCCUUCAAUUUGAUUGGCUAAUGAAAUAAAAUCAUCAUAGAUACUAGGAUUGAAAUUUUAUAUUAUCAUUACUCUUUCAACAAAGGGGAAAAAGAUUUUACGGUCUACUGAGCAAACUUAACGUUAUUGUUCUAUGUACACACUCAAAUAUAUCGACUAUAAAUUUUUGUUGUAUAUAAAUAUUUUAUCAUGUUUUUUUGUCAUUUCAGAAAUCAGCA